Molecule: ribosomal RNA, 44 nt
Filed under: Rhipidoglossum arbonnieri
Lineage: Eukaryota; Viridiplantae; Streptophyta; Magnoliopsida; Asparagales; Orchidaceae
Description: partial 5.8S ribosomal RNA
Source: RNAcentral
GACACGACUCUCGGCAAUGGAUAUCUCGGCUCUCGCAUCGAUGA